This 482-nucleotide ribosomal RNA is filed under the name uncultured bacterium. RNAcentral's name for it is "bacterial SSU rRNA". It matches the Rfam family "Bacterial small subunit ribosomal RNA", at positions 30 to 506 of the family's 1533-position model. The record is from RNAcentral.
UUGAACGCUGGCGGCAGGCCUAACACAUGCAAGUCGAGCGGUAGAGAGAAGCUUGCUUCUCUUGAGAGCGGCGGACGGGUGAGUAAUGCCUAGGAAUCUGCCUGGUAGUGGUGGAUAACGUUCGGAAACGGACGCUAAUACCGCAUACGUCCUACGGGAGAAAGCAGGGGACCUUCGGGCCUUGCCCUAUCAGAUGGGCCUAGGUCGGAUUAGCUAGUUGGUGAGGUAAUGGCUCACCAAGGCGACGAUCCGUAACUGGUCUGAGAGGAUGAUCAGUCACACUGGAACUGAGACACGGUCCAGACUCCUACGGGAGGCAGCAGUGGGGAAUAUUGGACAAUGGGCGAAAGCCUGAUCCAGCCAUGCCGCGUGUGUGAAGAAGGUCUUCGGAUUGUAAAGCACUUUAAGUUGGGAGGAAGGGCCAUUACCUAAUACGUGAUGGUUUUGACGUUACCGACAGAAUAAGCACCGGCUAACUCUGU